Molecule: long non-coding RNA, 2445 nt
Organism: Vollenhovia emeryi
Lineage: Eukaryota; Metazoa; Arthropoda; Insecta; Hymenoptera; Formicidae
Exons: 3
Source: RefSeq, a predicted model, not a curated record
AGGUUGAUAAUAUUGCACACAGCUUCCGUUAUAAAUAAAGCGCACACAAGUUUUCUUCUAAUUGCGAAACAAUGUGCGCAACUUUAAAUUGAUAAAAAAUUUUUACUAUGUAAAUUUAAUAGACUUCUAAGGCUGGGAUGUAUUUUAUACCCGAUGUGCGGAUAACGUAUAUAGAGCUUGAGAGAAUUAAAUUGACUUUUUGUUAACAAACCCGUAAGAAGGUAUAAUAUAUUUCAGUUGUGUCACUUCUUAUUUAUUAAAAAGGCAGUUACAUACUUUCGAGUUGCAAUCGAUUCGAUCAAUUUCAAAUGAGUUACGGUAUGCUGUGUAUAUGUACCAUGAGCUUUUCUUCCAGCGGUCCCUCAUUUCCACGAUCUUUAAAGUUAUUCUGGCCGGUGCUACUGCCACUGCUGCUGUUGCUGCUGCUGCUACUGAUACCGCUGUUGUAUUGUGUCAUCUUCAUGUUACACGUGUCGUCUCGCGUUAAAACGCAAUUCAAUCGGAAUCAAUUGACGUGACCCGUUAAGCGAUGUUAACGAGACGUCCGACAAUGCCCGCAUCUAUAUAAAAUUUACACGUGCACAGGUCUCCUCGCCGUCUGAUUCAUCCAUAUCGAUUUUCGUCGUAGCAUUUUCUUGGGCAGACGUGUCCGCGGAUAAUUAUUUCGUCACAAAAUAACGCCCAAUAAAGUAUGUCGCAGACUCCAAUUCGCAAAUGCGAACAAUCCCUCACUCCCAGAAAACGAUAGUAAUAAUAAAAAGUAUCGGGGUAAAGUCGAGGAAGAAGUCUCGCCAGAAGCGUGAUAGGAAGAAGGCAAAGGAAGAUAUCUUUACAAGAGGUAAUAUUGUUCCCUACGCGGUGACGAUUGAGGCCUGAUAUACAAAAUAUUUGCAACACGUGCGCGCAUUGCAAACAAGCGAUUGGACGUGUUUUGCAAGUUCAAUUGAGCGCGUUCGAACGGCGGUCGAGGUAUCAAGAAACUACACGGUAGUGUCGCGCACCAAAUUCACGCGCGGUAUGUUAUCACGGCACAGUCAGGCGCCCGACUGAAAAGCACCUGUCCACCUGUACAUGUAAAAGCCACCACCAGCUUACGCUGGAACACGCGAGGAAUACGCGCAGUAUACUCCCGUAUACCACGACGUUCGACCGGACAAUCUGUAUUAAUGACGCGGCUAAACUGUUGCUGCUUUUGCGCUGUUACGUUGUAGAAAACAUGAUCGUUGAAAUAAAAGCUAAAAUUUAUUGCGAAAAAUACUAAAGGGUAAAGGGUCCGGGAACACUCCCUCGAAAAGUGCCUUGCAACCCCAAGAGAAGUCAAUAGAGAUUAUUAUAAUAUUGCGAGAAAUAUUACCUCAACCAGGCUUCCGAUUCAAUCUGUGCUUAACUUUUAACAAUGGAAAAACUAAAUGGUCCAAAUUGGGAAACUGGUGGCCUAAGUUGGAUCUGGAGAUGAAAGCUAACAAUUAAUAAUAAAGCAAAAUAAUAAAAAGAUAAAUAAAAGUGUCUCCUGUAAAAAUAUUUGUAAUACACAGCACAUAUUAAAACUACAACAACAUUUACUUGUUGCGAGAAAUAUCAAAUAUUAAAACAAAUGAAUUAAUAGAAUAAAACUUAACAUCAACACUUGUAAAAUGAUUGAAAAGUCUAUUUGCAGACCAACCGCGCGUUGUUUUUACACGCAUUGACUUUAUGCAGUACUUUCUGCAAUCCAUAACAAAUUACAAAUCGUACGUUUCCGGUUCUGCUUUGAGCUAUUAUCAGCGAUGCGGUGACAGACAUAAAUCACAUAAUAUUUUAAUCCCUAAAUAUUUAAAUAUUAAAUUUGUUAUCUUCAUGGCACCAGGUUACACACCGUGUAAAUGCAUGACCUAUAAUCCAUACUGGAGAGAGAGAGAUCAUGUAUUCUUCCUUUACCUCUCAUAUAAAAUACACAUGGCGGAAUAAAUUGACACAGAUUUUGAGACGGAACAGAGGACGCUUAUUCGAUACAAGAGAGCACGUUAGCUCCGUUUUACAGCUUCGGAUAAAAGACAACAUUGACAGGCUCAUCGUUCGGGAACGCUACUCGAUUCCUCUCGAGUGUCAUCUGCUCAACUUCUUUCAAUUUUUUUAAGUCUCUGAAGAUAAACUGGUUAAGAUUUAGCAAACAUGCGGUGGCCCAACUUAGGCAACUAGGCUGCGAAUAUUAAAAAAUUGCAUUACACAAACACGCGAAAUUAAACAUUAGUUUUAUAAUUAGUAGUUGAUAGAAGGCACUUGUAAAAUGUAUUAUAGAAAAUUUGACUGCGUACUCGUAUUCUACAGCGGCUUAAAAUCUGUAUAACACAAUAAUUAUAAAACAAACUACAAAAAAAUAAACGGUGUUUCUAUUUGAUAAAAUAAUUUCCACCCACUGGCUACUGAUUGUGAGUCGCAUGUCGAGGGCAAUGUCGUCAAACAGUA